UCACCAACGCAUUUUUGUCUUAGUUAGCUGUGGAGCACAUGAAAACUCCACAAUUACGCAUGCUUAGGUGGGAGUAGUACUAGGAUGGGUGACCUCCUGGGAGGUCUCUACGUGGGCAAC
Molecule: non-coding RNA, 120 nt
Organism: Helianthus annuus (common sunflower)
Lineage: Eukaryota; Viridiplantae; Streptophyta; Magnoliopsida; Asterales; Asteraceae
Source: Rfam